Long non-coding RNA from Ailuropoda melanoleuca (giant panda), 1010 nucleotides. RefSeq lists it as uncharacterized. Lineage: Eukaryota; Metazoa; Chordata; Mammalia; Carnivora; Ursidae. The record is from RefSeq and is a predicted model, not a curated record. The transcript has 3 exons.
CCCGUGAACAGCAGCUUCCGGGCUGCUCUCCGGAGGCCAGAACGCUGAGCCUGGGGAAAGUCCGGUUCGUCUCGGCCGUGUCCAGACUGUCAGGUUUCAGAGGUGUUGUUUACGCUCAGUGGUUUCGUCUCCCUGGAAUGUAACCGUGAGAUAACAACUACUGAAUAACCAAGCCACGUUCUGCAACCCUGUUUACAGAAGGGUGUCCUUUCUCCACCGAUCUGGGCAGCCACCCCUCUGUGGGUCACGUUCUUUAAGACUGGAUCCCACAAGCAACAGAGACGAGUCAAGGGCUCUACCCAGGCCGCUGGGCCCAAGAGCGGAUGGGGCCAACUGCCAGCCCGAAGAUGGGAGGCCGCUGCUGUGCUCCAGGGAGCACGGAGGCAGCCAGGGUGAGAAGGGCAGGAAGGUCUGCUCCCAGUGAAGCCCUGCUGGCCUUCCCUGUGAGCACCGCUGUGCUGGGGCAGGGCCCGGACCGGGGUGGGGAGUCCUGCAGCGAGAUGGAGGUGGGGCUGGGAGACCCUGGGGGGCUCCUGCCCAAGUCCUCCUUCACUUCCUGGAUUCCAGGAAGGCUCCCAGGGGGGCAGUGGGCAAGCCCCGAACGGGGUGUGCCCAUCCUGUGGCUCCGGCCGGCCCUUCCGGUGUGGCGGCCAGCCCCACGCACGGCCAGCCAGAGGCCCUGGGAGCGUCUGGGAGCGGCAGCCAAGGGCUGGCAGCCAGGAAGGCCCUGCAGCCUCGCAGAGCAGAGGAGCCUAUUGACAAGUCCUUGAAACAGGCAGAGUGACAUUCCUCCAGGAGCUCAGCUGCCUCGAUGCUGAUACUUUGCUGAGGGCAAAAAGGCAAACUUAGCCCGACCCCCAGGACCCUGCAAGUCUACUUUAUCAUAUACAAAUUCCUUUGGAAACUUCCUUUAUCUCUACUCCCCCCUCCCCAAUGACAAGAUGCGUGUUGGCAACCAUCCCCCAAGCAUAUGACCCACUGAUACACAUCUGAAGGGUCUCAGGACCGAG